This 466-nucleotide ribosomal RNA is filed under the name uncultured bacterium. RNAcentral's name for it is "partial 16S ribosomal RNA". It matches the Rfam family "Bacterial small subunit ribosomal RNA", at positions 28 to 507 of the family's 1533-position model. The record is from RNAcentral.
GAUGGACGCUGGCGGCGUGCUUAACACAUGCCAGUCGAACGAUGAAGCCCAGCUUGCUGGGUGGAUUAGUGGCGAACGGGUGAGUAACACGUGAGUAACCUGCCCUUAACUCUGGGAUAAGCCUGGGAAACUGGGUCUAAUACCGGAUAGGAGCGUCCACCGCAUGGUGGGUGUUGGAAAGAUUUAUCGGUUUUGGAUGGACUCGCGGCCUAUCAGCUUGUUUGUGAGGUAAUGGCUCACCAAGGCGACGACGGGUAGCCGGCCUGAGAGGGUGACCGGCCACACUGGGACUGAGACACGGCCCAGACUCCUACGGGAGGCAGCAGUGGGGAAUAUUGCACAAUGGGCGCAAGCCUGAUGCAGCGACGCCGCGUGAGGGAUGACGGCCUUCGGGUUGUAAACCUCUUUCAGUAGGGAAGAAGCGAAAGUGACGGUACCUGCAGAAGAAGCACCGGCUAACUACGUG